Molecule: non-coding RNA, 3030 nt
Organism: Pelobates cultripes (western spadefoot toad)
Lineage: Eukaryota; Metazoa; Chordata; Amphibia; Anura; Pelobatidae
Source: the annotation of a GenBank genome assembly
GAUCACAGCACUUCAGCAAUUCACCAUGAGUUCCACCGGCCACAAGCAUUAUCAUGAUAAGAAUUACCCGGCAAAAAGAUUUGUUGAAGUUUACUUUUCUGAUGAUCGUUUCCCAUUAAUAGAUGAAAACACGGAGUUUCCAAUGGAACACAUUCAUAAAGACAUUGAUUCAGGUCUGUAAAAUGUACUAUUUAUUAACAUGUGUAAGAGCUCUCAUUUUUUACAUUGAUUCUAUGGAAUGAAAUAUGCAAUAGAAAACUGUCUUUUUUUUCUGCAUAUCAAUUACUUUCAGAAUGGCUUUAACCCCUUAAGGACCAAACUUCUGGAAUAAAAGGGAAUCAUGACAUGUCACACAUGUCAUGUGUCCUUAAGGGGUUAAUCAAAUUAGUGAAGUAUCAGUUGGAUCAGUUUAAAUACACCCACAGUAGUGAGUAUUGAGUACUUAAUUCAUUAAUUUCAAUUCAGAUUUCCUAAUUCAUCACAGAAUACUAACAUUCAAUGUGGAGAGACAGUGACAUUGUAAAAGACAGAUGUGUGUGAAGUGGUUAGAUGUAUGGACACCUAAAAGAAAAAUGUUUAUAGGAAAGACUUCAAGGGAAAUCCAUCUGGGGUGAGAAACUUAAAAGAGGUGUCUAUUGCAAUCAGACCCUUCACUUCCUUGCACUUUUUUCUUGAAGAAAAGAAAUUAGCAUAACAUUUGAAACAAACGAUACAUAACUAGCACAUAAAUGUAUAAUUGAUGUCUGAUAGCAUAAAAGCAAAAAUACAAUUCUCAAAUAUAAGAGGUGAGACAAAAAUAUAUGAAUAAAUAUGGUCAAGCGGAGCCUGAUACCGUUACUAGCUUUAGAUACUGAAAAUUACAAGAGAAUGUAAAUAGAAUGUCUGUCUUUCAAUAUAAUAUCCAAAUAUAGUAUACAGUUCUAAAUCCUAUAUUUCUAAUAUAUGAGUAUACAACCAGUGAAGGCUCCAACAUUGAUGUUUGCAUCUAUUUAUAAUAUAUAAGUUUUGGCCUGUUUGUACAUAUUGCCCUAUGAGUAUCUGCAUCCUGCCUCUUGGAGGGAGUUGGACCAUAUCAUUACUAAGAAGAAUUUUAUACCAGUAUAUACUGACACUUAGUGAUUCUCUAUACCAUCACAGUGUAGAUCAGUAACCAUAACCAGGUUAAGGAGGCUAUAGAAAAAAAAACUGAAAUCAAAUAUAAGAAUUGAUUAUUAUCCCUUCCUUUCUAUUGCAAAUCAAUAUAACAUUUUCGAUUUUCUAUUUAUUAUUUUUUUUUUUUUAUUGUUAUUAUUAUUAUUUUUUAUUUUAUUUUUUAUAUAUUUCACUGAUGUCCUGGAAGACAGUUUGUGCCUUUGGGAAAUCACUGAGAUAGAUUAGGGUAUUUUUUUUUAACUGUUUGCCUGCUGGCUUCUAGUGCUUUUUGGUGGUGAAAUGUCAAGGCCAUUUGUCCCGAAUGAUGUCCAAUAUCCCUGGACAUAAUUGAAAACAAGAAUAAUCUCAAUGUAUUCUUCCUGGUAAAAUAUUUUCUAAAUAAAUAAAUAAAAUGAUUUCAAUUAAUUUCAAUGCUAUUAUCGAUUCUCGUUACGUUUGAAAAUCUAUAUUAUUAAAAAUUGUAUUUCUGAGAAGGCACUGGCCGCACAGGUGAUACUGGCGGCUAGAGCUCUCAUAGCGCUCAAUUGGAAAUUAACCAUUUGCCCGUCUGAAAAGAACCACAUGGACAAAAUCCGACUAAAUUAUGUGUAUGAUAUCUCUUCUGCGAUAGCUCCCAACCAAAAACAUAAAAUAGCUAAAACCUGGGAACCUUGGUGUCGCCACUAUCAAUUCCAGCCUCCAUAAAACCAUCACCCGGCCUAAGACCCGGAUCAUACAUACACCUGUUAAUAACAAUAAUAUAAAAAAAAAAUGGAUUUUAGUGCAGGGAACUCCGCGGUUCCCCCCCCCCCGGGCCUCCACCACCGCCUAAGGAGACAGCCAUAAGAGCCCAGAUAGAGGCUGGAUAGCUAACAGAUUGUGUUUUCCCUCAUGUUAAACUUUUCUUGGUUAUAACUAUAUUAUACCUUAUUUUUUCGGUUUCACUUUUUGUUCAGGGAGGUUCAGGCUGAGCAUCGCCUUGACACUUGAGCAAUACCUCACAGAAUACCACACUUCUCGGGGAUACAUGGGAGGCAUUAACAGUGUAUGCAGGGAGCCCCGUCCAGUAGAGGGACAGUAAGACCCUGAACGCAAGAGGUCCAAACCUUGAGCCUCCUUGAACUCCCCCCCCCCCCGAACACCCUACAAGGUUAAGGUAUGCGACAUAUAAGCAAAUCGCACAACAACUAGGCUCGAAAUAACUAGAGCAUCGCCCUGAGUGCACGCAAGAGGCUGAUAGCUACAUGGCCUCAUCGACGAGAUACAACUGGAGGUUGAACAGUGGGGUAUAGGUAGUGCCCGUUCUGACUUGGGUUGAGCAGCGACUACUUUACGCCCAAACAACUGCGCUCCUAGAUAGGUGGGGAUUAACAUGAAAUGUGAAUGUCAUUGUGAUGUAUCAGAUUCUCUGUAUUGUAACCCUGAACUCCUUACCCUACCCUUUUUUUCUUCUGCACCCCCACCCUUCUCUCUUUUGCGAUUGAAAAAUAAUAAACUCAAUUAAUAAAAAAAAAAAAAAAUUGUAUUUCUCAGCUUUGGAGAAGCCAUUAAUGGUGGUAAUGCAGUUGAUUUAAAUGAAUAAAAGGAUUAUCAGGAGCUAACAGCCUGAACUGAACUAGUUUGUGAUGUCAACUUCUACACCUUUAAAUAACAUUUUAAACAAAACACAAUAUCCAUAUGAAAAAAUAAUAGCACAAAUUCCAGAGAGAUGACAGCUACCUAUUAAUGCAAAUCAGAUCGCUGUAAGAUUUUGAACAGUUUCAUCAUCACCAUUUCAGUCAUAUAACCAUAUCUGAGUUGCAAGAGGCAUUGUAUAGAAUGUUCAUAAACAGCCCUUCCCUUUUAUCAUCUACAGGAGUCGUGAAGGGAGAAACAUUGAUUGAUUUCAGUAUUGGAGCC